Molecule: ribosomal RNA, 408 nt
Filed under: uncultured microorganism
Description: bacterial SSU rRNA
Rfam family: Archaeal small subunit ribosomal RNA
Source: RNAcentral
GUGCACCAGGCGCGAAAACUUCACAAUGUGCGAAAGCACGAUGAGGGAAUCCCAAGUGCUUGCACGUAAGUGUAAGCUGUUUCUCUGUCUAAAACGCAGAGAGAGUAAGGGCUGGGUAAGACGGGUGCCAGCCGCCGCGGUAAUACCUGCAGCUCGAGUGGUGACCGUUAUUAUUGGGCCUAAAACGUCCGUAGCCGGUUUAAUAAAUGCCUGGGUAAAUCGGACCGCUUAACGGUUCGAAUUCCGGGUAGACUGUUAAACUUGAGACCGGGAGAAGUUAGAGGUACUCCUGGGGUAGAGGUGAAAUUCUGUAAUCCUAGGGGGACCACCAGUGGCGAAGGCGUCUAACUAGAACGGGUCUGACGGUGAGGGACGAAGCCCUGGGGCGCAAGCGGGAUUAGAUACCCC